ACUGUAUGAUAGCGCGUAUGUACCCGAGGGCCAACCUAAUAAAAGGCGCGCUGCGUUCCUCAGUCCCGCUCUAUGUAUUCGAAGAAGGGCUAUAACACAUCCGAGGAUGCCACGUUCCCUCCAACCUUUUCCACAGAUCGAAACUGAUGCUGGCCUGCCAACCGAGAAGUACACCGACAGAAUCGGCUGAGUCUCGGAAAGCAUGACUGACUUCAAUCGUUUCCCUUUUAACAAUUUCACGUACUGUUUAACUCUCUUUCCAAAGUGCUUUUCAUCUUUCCCUCACGGUACUUGUUCGCUAUCGGUCUCUCGCCAAUAUUUAGCUUUAGAUGGAAUUUACCACCAAUUUUGAGCUGCAUUCCCAAACAACUCGACUCUUCGAGAUCGCAUCACAAAGCAUUGGUAGUCUGUGUCAAGGACGGGAUUCUCACCCUCUAUGACGCCCUGUUCCAAGGGACUUGUACACAGGCCAACGCGGAAAACGAUUCUCUAGACUACAACUCGGACGACCUGAGGCCGCCAGAUUUUAAAUUUGAGCUCAUCCCGCUUCACUCGCCGUUACUAGGGGAAUCCUUGUUAGUUUCUUUUCCUCCGCUAUUGAAAAUGGAAAAA
This 612-nucleotide ribosomal RNA is filed under the name Mrakia frigida. RNAcentral describes it as "partial 28S ribosomal RNA". The record is from RNAcentral. Lineage: Eukaryota; Fungi; Basidiomycota; Tremellomycetes; Cystofilobasidiales; Mrakiaceae.